This 333-nucleotide unclassified non-coding RNA is filed under the name Hevea brasiliensis (rubber tree). Lineage: Eukaryota; Viridiplantae; Streptophyta; Magnoliopsida; Malpighiales; Euphorbiaceae. The record is from RNAcentral.
CGGUCUCCUUCAACCUUAACUCAAUUCCUGAAUAGCGAGAGUCUGUCGGUAUGAGUUUGGCCCAGACUUCGUCUUCGGAAAGUGUAGGAGUAGAGCUUUCUCCCUUUUCCAUGGCUGUGGAAGGACGACCAACUUCAGGUGGUCAUAUCUAUCUUUUAAAUUGUUUCACAACACCAGAGGAUCCUUAACAGUGAGAUAUUCCAUUUUCAAACCUUCAUCAAGGUAAUGACGGAGAAAUAUCAUGGCCUUAGCACGGUUUUGAUUCGAUGCUUGAUUAUUUUCUUGGAUUGUGUCUGCUAGACCCAUCGCAUCAAGAUGAAUUUCUGCAUCGAG